ACAAACUUGGUCAUUUAGAGGAAGUAAAAGUCGUAACAAGGUCUCCGUUGGUGAACCAGCGGAGGGAUCAUUAUAGAGUGUUACAACUCCCAAACCCUUUGUGAACCAUACCUACAGUUGCUUCGGCGGGACUGCCCCGGCGCCUCAGCGCGCCGGAACCAGGCGCCCGCCGGGGGACCGAAACUCUUGAUUCCGCCAGCGGUUUCUUCUCUGAGUGGCACAAGCAAAAAUAAAUCAAAACUUUCAACAACGGAUCUCUUGGUUCUGGAAUCGAUGAAGAACGCAGC
Molecule: unclassified non-coding RNA, 287 nt
Filed under: uncultured fungus
Lineage: Eukaryota; Fungi
Description: partial contains small subunit ribosomal RNA, internal transcribed spacer 1, and 5.8S ribosomal RNA
Rfam family: Eukaryotic small subunit ribosomal RNA (bases 1-73)
Source: RNAcentral